CAAAAUGAGGCAGAACUUAGCUUGUCACAUAGGUGUAUUCUUCCUGGAACCGAUGCGGGGUCAGAAAACUGAUGGCUUUUAAGCAAGCUGGACGGGUCCUCUCAGCGCAUUCCCCCACCCGCCUGGCGCCAAUGGAGCUGGCCUGGCCCGCCCAGCCCCUCCCCGCCCCGUCCGCGCUCGGACCGGACUUUCAGGACUGCAGGGGAAAGGGUGGACACCCAGCCUCCCGCCAGGUCAGAGCAGAGGCUAAAAAUGGCCCAGGGGAGACUGCUGGAGUUGCAUGGAGUUCGGGAGCCUAGGAGGGGUCUGAAAAUAACUGUCAAAAAGUUUGAAGGGUGUGUGUUGGCUUGGGGAAAAAAGAGGGUGGAGUGCAUUACAUAAAACUUUUGCAGCUUGUAUUUCCUUUUUUUUUUUUUAUGUUUAAGGACGGCGGAGAUACCUUCAACGUAAGACUGCAAUCAUAAUUAAAACAUGAAUAGUAACAUUUUAAGUUCGUUGUGCCAUUAUGAACUCAUGUUAGUGUUGGACAUUCUAUGAUCCCAGUCCUGUUUAGGCAACGUUAUUGAGGGAUUUAGUUUGCGGAUCUACCUUUCAGGGACAAAGAACCUAGACAGGGAAAGAACAGUAACUUUUGACAGAAAUUUUGCUUCCUGUGAGAUGUGGUUAUUCUCUUCCUUUCACAUCUGUUUGUAGUUCUUUUAGUUUUCCCAGGCAUUAAAUAAAUUAAACCCUCUUUCUUGGAAUCACCAAUAUAUUAAUAUAUUGGGGGGAAAAAGAUUUGAAUUACUUAGGAAGUUGAUGAACUACCCACUCCAACAAUAGAGCCCUGAAAAUCAGGCUUAAGCUUUUGGCCAUACUACUAAAGACUAUCCCUCCUGACAAACACACACCCUCUUUUUUUUUUUUUUUUUUUAACUGGUUGACAGAUCUUUUUUGCAUCAUCACCAUUUUCAGUUUAGAUUCUUACUAGGUGGGAUAAAUUUCACCAUUCUAAUAUCAGCCAUCACCAUUAUGCCUGGUGAAAAAUACAGAAUGUCUGGGCUGCAUCCUCAGAGUGUCUAAUUCGGUGUUUAUGGGAAAGGGACCCAGGAGAAUCUGCAUACCCAGCAAUCCAUGUUUUCAGGGUUGUGGCUUGGGAAAGAACUGUUCCAGACUUCUGCACUUCCUAAGGACCUAUUUUGUAGAUGUUGCAGUGGACGGAAUGUUUGUGCUUUCCCUUAAAUUCAUUUGUUAAAAUCCUAACCCCAAUGUGAUGGUAUUAGGAGAUGGGGCCUUUGGGAGGUAAUUCAUAGCAUAGAGGCCGCAUGAAUGCGAUUAGUGCCCUUAUAAAAAAGGGACCCAGAGAGCUGUCUCCAUCUUUCUGCCACAGGAGGAUACAAAAAUACAUCAGUUUGCAAACCAGAAGAAGGUCCUCACCAGAAACCAACUAUGCUGGCACCCUGAUCUUGGACUUCUAGCCUCCAGAACUGUGAGAAAUAAAUGUGUGUUUAUAAACCAGUCAGUCAGUCUAUGGUGCUUUAUUAUAGCAUCUGGAACGAGCUAAGACAGCUGCUAAGUAGCAUUCCAUUUGACAAGGAAGACUUACCAUUCACACUACUUCUGAGUUCAAUGAAAGAGAGGCUCGGUUCCUUACCUGUAAAAUAGAGAUCAUAUAGAGAUGUCGGGAAGAUUUAAUAACAUCAUGCAAGCAAUAUGCCUACAAGAGUGCCUGUAAAACAUUAAGCCUUGGAAAUAAAAGAAGCAGAACUGUAACAUCCUGAGAAAACACAGAGACAUUGAAGUAUAUGAGCACGACACAUCUGCAAAUCUUUAAGCAAAAUGAUUUCUUUUCCUGCCUGCACUUUCUUUGAGGUUGCAGUAGAGAGUGUGUGUCUACAGAAGGUACUGUAUGCAUAGCUAUAAGGAGGUCUUACCCUCUGUCUUUUUAUCUUUCUGGGCCCUUCUUUACCCUUGUUCUUCCUCUUCUCCUCUCUUAAUUCUAUAAUGGGUCUUCACAUAUUGCUGUACCUUCUCAUGUUACUUGAAUAGAAUUUUGAUACUUAAUCUGAAAAGCUGAUAAGUGAAAACAUUUGUUUUGUGGUAUAUUAAGUACUUUAUUGAAAUUAUUAAUUUCACAUAUUUUAAAGUUAUAUAGCUUUUAGCUAAUUUUUUGGAUAAUU
Molecule: long non-coding RNA, 2159 nt
Filed under: Homo sapiens (human)
Lineage: Eukaryota; Metazoa; Chordata; Mammalia; Primates; Hominidae
Description: HSALNT0349030
Source: RNAcentral